This is an RNA transcript of Venturia canescens, 2030 nucleotides long. The record is from RefSeq and is a predicted model, not a curated record. Lineage: Eukaryota; Metazoa; Arthropoda; Insecta; Hymenoptera; Ichneumonidae.
AUAUAGUACGCAGGGCUCUUAUUAACUUACGGCUACUGUUUGUUCGAAUGUACGGAAAAGGUUCCAAUUUUCGUGUGGCGGUCUCGCUACCUUUACCGACACCACCGACACCAGCGACGAACAGCAGCGACAAGCGGCGAGAGAGAAAACAGCAGCUCAAGCCGCGAGAGAUUUUCACCACGAGGCUUCAAAAAGAAGAUUCUCGAACCUCACUACUUCGGUAGCGCGUGAUUGUUCCCUCACACAACGUGUCGAUAAAACUUUCAUCGAUAUUUUUUAUAAAAUAUUAACGUUGGCUUUAAAUAAAAACAACAAUAUUAAUCUUUCUUGUGGUGUCAGGAGUGAUUUUACCUCAAAAGGAUCCCCGGCCCCAACCUCCGUUAACUUGGCCCCCCCAUUUAAUUAUUUUAAACUUUCGUUAAUGCAAAUCGUUUGAGAGUCGUUAGAGAGAGUAUGAGAGAAAAGAAAAAUUGUUUGAGAGUAAUUAUUUUUUUGGCAAAAAUGAUUUUAUUUUUUGGCGUGAAGCUGGCCCCCAUUUAUUUUAUCUCCUGGAAAAAUGGACUUAGACGUUUCAUUUUUUUUUUAAUCGUUUGAGAAUCGUUUGAGAGAGAUUGAGAGUGAAAGAAAAUCGUUCGAGAGUUGAUAUUUUAAUUGAUAUUAAAUGAUUUAUAAUUAGGUGAUUUCACCUAGAGUCCCUAGAACUGAGGCACUUCCGGUGUGCGCAGCGGGUAUGCGCAGUGCACUUGCGCAAAGCACAUGCUGUACAUGCAUGUGGGAUCAGCUGAUCAGCAGCUACAGCAGUCGACCUACAUUUUAUACUAAUAUAUCUUAACGUUUUCCAAGCAAGCUAUCGAUCAGAUAAAAUGAACUGCCGGACUGAACGAUCAGUACGAAAGAUUAAAAGUUUUAUCCCUUUUCACCAGCCAAGAUGCUAUGAGGAUUGAUUAAAAUCAGAUAUAAGGAACGAAAACGUAGGCGAAAAAUACUGGAGCAAAAUGCAGGAUUACGAGCCAGCAUGCCCGCGUUUCGCUCAUCAGCUGAUCUACGACUACGUGAGAAAAAUUUACUAUUUGUUCGGAGGGACAGCAUCGAGGCUCUCUAGUAUCUUCAAAAUGAAGUUUCCGAUAUCAUCGAUCACGAUGACGACGAGGAGCAAAUCAAAGAGUUUCAACUACUCGCAUCCGUCAUAUUCCGGGAACAGGAGUCAGCCCGAAACAUCGAUUUAUCGUCGUCUUCGAGCACCGAGGAUUCCGAAACAUUUGAAAAAACGCAAGAAAACUUCACGUCCGUCGAGCCGAAUAUUGUAUGAUAAGUUGACGGAAUUUUUUUCCGAAUCGCUCACGCAGCCUCGAGACAAUUUAAUUGCUUUAUUGCCAUUAUGAUGAACGAGUGAAACCGGGUAGUCGACGACUCAUUGUUGAUUGACAAUGAUACUCCCAAUCGAAUUCGGAGUAGAGGAAAUUAGUGAGCGGUUCAAAAGAAGCAGUCACUGCGUGGCUCAAGAAUGUCCCACAUUGUUGCGUAAAGGUCUUCUGGAGUUGUUCCCUGGCUGUGUCGAAGUGGCCUCACCGCAGUUUACCAUUAUAACUCUAAGUCAAAAAUUAAGUGAUCAAAGUCACCCGUGGAGCAGGGAAAUGGAAACUGAGAAGCUGGCUAUAUUCCUGUGUUUUGCACCGUUCCAAAAGUUAUAGCAACGCAACUGGGCGAGGUUCGUUCGGGGCUGGUUUUAACAGCGGCUGUUACAUCCGAUCAAGAAACUGGAGAACGCAGGUUGGAAACUGGUGCUAUGGUUUUUAUGAUUGCUGUAACUGCCAACCAUUGAAUAACGAAGAUGCACAAUCCGAGGUUCAGCCUCCACCCUUCUACAAGGACGUUUCAUCGUAAAUCAAGCUGUUCUCCCCACGAUCCAAAUCUGGAUAACACGAGCUGGCGUCAAUCCAAAUUGGGAACUUAUAGCACCAAAAGGAUUUAGAUUUUAUAUGCCAAUAAGGAGUGCAGGUCGUGGAUGGUUAAAUGCAACCACAACAGCA